CCCUUAGAUGUUCUGGGCUGCACGCGCGCUACACUGAAGCGUUCAACGAGUAUUUCACCUUGCCCGGGAGGGUUGGGUAAUCUUUUUAAAACGCUUCGUGAUGGGGAUAGAUUAUUGCAAUUAUUAAUCUUCAACGAGGAAUUCCUAGUAAGUGCAAGUCAACAGCUUGCGUUGAUUACGUCCCUGCCCUUUGUACACACCGCCCGUCGCUACUACUGAUUGGAUGUUUAAGCGAGGUUCUCGAACUGCUAGUGACUGAUCUUCGGUGAGGUCGCAGUGUGGGAAGUGAACCUAGCUUUGGUGUCUAGAGGAAGUAAAAGUCGUAACA
RNAcentral lists this ribosomal RNA (328 nucleotides) under uncultured eukaryote. RNAcentral describes it as "partial 18S ribosomal RNA". It matches the Rfam family "Eukaryotic small subunit ribosomal RNA", at positions 1470 to 1796 of the family's 1831-position model. The record is from RNAcentral.